Molecule: ribosomal RNA, 562 nt
Filed under: uncultured bacterium
Lineage: Bacteria
Description: bacterial SSU rRNA
Rfam family: Bacterial small subunit ribosomal RNA
Source: RNAcentral
CCCGCGUCUGAUUAGCUAGUUGGCGGGGUAACGGCCCACCAAGGCAGCGAUCAGUAGCCGGCCUGAGAGGGUGGACGGCCACAUUGGGACUGAGACACGGCCCAAACUCCUACGGGAGGCAGCAGUGGGGGAUAUUGCACAAUGGGGGGAACCCUGAUGCAGCGACGCCGCGUGAAGGAAGAAGUAUCUCGGUAUGUAAACUUCUAUCAGCAGGGAAGAAAAUGACGGUACCUGACUAAGAAGCCCCGGCUAACUACGUGCCAGCAGCCGCGGUAAUACGUAGGGGGCAAGCGUUAUCCGGAUUUACUGGGUGUAAAGGGAGCGUAGGCGGCAGUGCAAGUCAGAAGUGAAAGCCCGGGGCUCAACUCCGGGACUGCAUUUGAAACUGUACAGCUUGAUUGCAGGAGAGGCAAGUGGAAUCCCUAGUGUAGCGGUGAAAUGCGUAGAUAUUAGGAGGAACACCAGUGGCGAAGGCGGCUUGCUGGACUGUAAAUGACGCUGAGGCUCGAAAGCGUGGGGAGCAAACAGGAUUAGAUACCCUGGUAGUCCACGCCGUAAACGA